AGAGUUUGAUCCUGGCUCAGGACGAACGCUGGCGGCGUGCCUAACACAUGCAAGUCGAGCGGGGAGACCCUUCGGGGUUUUCUAGCGGCGGACGGGUGAGUAACGCGUGAGCAACCUUUCCUUCACAGGGGGAUAACGCAGCGAAAGCUGUGCUAAUACCGCAUAAGACCACGAAGCCACAUGGUUUUGAGGUCAAAGGAGCAAUCCAGUGAGGGGUGGGCUCGCGUCUGAUUAGCUAGUUGGUGAGGUAACGGCCCACCAAGGCAACGAUCAGUAGCCGACCUGAGAGGGUGAUCGGCCACACUGGGACUGAGACACGGCCCAGACUCCUACGGGAGGCAGCAGUGGGGAAUAUUGGGCAAUGGGCGAAAGCCUGACCCAGCAACGCCGCGUGAGGGAAGAAGGUUUUCGGAUCGUAAACCUCUGUCCUUGGUGAAGAGAAUGACGGUACCCAAGGAGGAAGCCCCGGCUAACUACGUGCCAGCAGCCGCGGUAAUACGUAGGGGGCGAGCGUUGUCCGGAUUUACUGGGCGUAAAGGGUGAGUAGGCGGUUAUUUAAGUCAGAUGUAAAAGGCUAUGGCUCAACUAUAGUAAGCAUUUGAAACUGGAUAACUUGAGUGCAGGAGAGGUAAGUGGAAUUCCUAGUGUAGCGGUGAAAUGCGUAGAUAUUAGGAGGAACACCAGUGGCGAAGGCGACUUACUGGACUGUAACUGACGCUGAGUCACGAAAGCGUGGGUAGCAAACAGGAUUAGAUACCCUGGUAGUCCACGCUGUAAACGAUGAGUGCUAGGUGUUGGCUAGCGAUAGUCAGUGCCGACGUAAACACAAUAAGCACUCCGCCUGGGGAGUACGGUCGCAAGACUGAAACUCAAAGGAAUUGACGGGGACCCGCACAAGCAGCGGAGCAUGUGGUUUAAUUCGAAGCAACGCGAAGAACCUUACCAAGGUUUGACAUCCCCUUGACAGGUGCAGAGAUGUACCCUCUCCUUCGGGAGCAAGGGAGACAGGUGGUGCAUGGUUGUCGUCAGCUCGUGUCGUGAGAUGUUGGGUUAAGUCCCGCAACGAGCGCAACCCUUAUCCUUAGUUGUCAGCAGGUAAGUUGGGCACUCUAAGGAGACUGCCGGUGAUAAACCGGAGGAAGGUGGGGAUGACGUCAAAUCAUCAUGCCCCUUAUAUCUUGGGCUACACACGUGCUACAAUGGUCGGUACAAAGGGGAGCGAAGGAGUGAUCUGGAGCAAAUCCCAAUAAACCGAUCCCAGUUCGGAUUGUAGGCUGAAACUCGCCUACAUGAAGUUGGAGUUGCUAGUAAUCGCGAAUCAGAACGUCGCGGUGAAUGCGUUCCCGGGUCUUGUACACACCGCCCGUCACACCAUGGAAGUUGGUAAUACCCAAAGUCGCUGAGCUAACCGUAAGGGGGCAGGCGCCUAAGGUAGGAUCAAUGACUGGGGUGAAGUCGUAACAAGGUAACC
RNAcentral lists this ribosomal RNA (1471 nucleotides) under uncultured bacterium. RNAcentral's name for it is "bacterial SSU rRNA". It matches the Rfam family "Bacterial small subunit ribosomal RNA". The record is from RNAcentral.